GGUAGUUCUAAGUGCAAGUUGCUAACAUCUCUCUGUAAAGGUUUUUCCUUGCAUCUGUUCCCUCUGGUUGGAAGGAGGUCAAAUACAGAAGCACAAAGGAAAACCAAUGGUUAAGUAUGUAAACCUUUGCCAGCCACACAAACUAGCAGAGAACACCUUUCAAGCUAUAGUAAGACUAUCGUAUGGUGGAAUAUGCUCCUUAGGAGCUUUGUUAUCUAAAAGCUAUGCAGAAAUCUCAGUAAUUCUUGUGGCAACACUAUUUUAAUAUGGUGUCUGCCCCAAUCCUACGUCUGUAAGGCAGCACAGCAACUGUAACUCUUAAUGCAUUAAGUACAUAGGCUGUGAAUGUGGCACUAAGUGCCCAAAGUCUCUCUAGAAAUGAAAGUGUUUGCUAGUCAUGUUUUCUGGUAUAGAAAAUCUCAGCAGGUGUCGGGUUGCAUUCUACCAGGAAGAUGUCCAAGCUCACCUUCCUGCAUGGAGAGGCAGGGAACACAAACAAUUCUCCUGGGAUGUGGAUCACCACAGCAGCUAUAUUCUAUUUUCAGAGCUCUACUGGAAUGUUUCCAAGACCACCAUGACAAAACUGCUUCGGUAUGGGUGGUAAACAUGUCUCUACUGUUACUGCAGACUUUUCUGCUGUUUGCUAUGCAUUCUUUAGCUACUGUUUCUUGAGCGGAAGGAUUCUUUCUGCACUACCACCUCAUCCUUGGACCCCUCACUGGAUAUCCAUGUGGAAAAAGGCAAACAAAUCAUGUGCUCUGCUAAGCAGAUACCAUUUACAGGGUGGAACCUGCAGAUCAUCAAGUACCUGCUGAUGCCUUACCAACUGUAUGCAAAAAUCAAGGUGUAGUCAAGAGAAGAGCUCACCUUCUCAAAAGUCUACGUUCGUGAGCAACAAUUAGAACUUAUGCUCAGAUAACAGCUCUGGAGUAAGCAGAAUUCCUAUGCAUUCAACAGUAAAGUUCAGAGCACAUCUGGAUGAAGCCCUACCAGAACAAUGGUGGUACUGCACUGUAAUUACAUGAAAGGAUUAUCUACUUCUCAACAUACAACCCCACAGCAGAUGUGCAGUCAUUCACUUUGAAAAUGCUCCUGUAGGACUGCAAGUAUUCCAUGACAGAGCAUGACUUUUUGGGAGAACCUAUUCCUGCCUGCAGGAACCCACCAGCUUUCAGUCUGGCUUGAGAUCGAUGGUGAAGUGCACACAGGGCACCAGGAAAACCUCAUUCUGCAACAAAUACACCUUGGGAGAGAUCAUCACGUAUCCUGCUUUUUAGCUACAGAAGAAAAGCAGUUUUAUUGAUGGUACAUUACUCUGAAUUUCAGUAGCGUCACCUGCACUGGAGCUGUACUUGGACUCCCACUGCCACUUUUGGUGAGGGAAUUUCUGCCACCUCCUCCAGCCCCCUGUGAAGACCCCACACACCCACCUUCCACAGUGAUUUUGGAUUGUACUUUCCUUUAAUACUGUGCUCAUCUUGAUGGAGCCUCAUUCCUACUGAGCAUCCAAGAGAAGUGACAAAGUAGAACCUAAAGAGGCGCUGCCUUUCUGAAGAGUGCUUCCCAUGAGUUUCCUGAGCUACUAAGGAAUAUAAAUCUCCAGAAACACGGCUUGAAAGAAAUUAGGAGUCACUACUGCCCACUCAUGCAUGGAAUGAAGCACAUCUCCUGCAGAAAAGUAAAGUAUGUGAUCAUGAUUAAUAAUUUUGAACGUGAGCAAAGAAUGACAGGAAUGCAAAUUGGAGCAACUUCCUCUGCAUGUACUCAGUUUUCACGUUAAUAUUAAACUAUCUGCAUCUAAGUGAGCAUUCAUUCUUUAGUUCUCAAAGCAAACUACACAGAUGAAUGCUACGUAUUCUAUUCUAAAU
RNAcentral lists this long non-coding RNA (1868 nucleotides) under Gallus gallus (chicken). Its description in RNAcentral is "lncRNA (ENSGALG00010028363.1)". Lineage: Eukaryota; Metazoa; Chordata; Aves; Galliformes; Phasianidae. The record is from RNAcentral.